AUGGGAGGAGCUUCGUCUAGCACACAGAAUUGGUUUGAAGUGGAUGUUGGCAACAAGCGUCAAAAGAAUCGGCUGUUGCGACAUGAUUGCAAAGCUCACUUGAUUGUUGGGGUCAGAGGCAAUAAAUGGGAUGUAUCACAUUUUGUUGCAGAGCAUACGCACCCUCUAAUGCCACAGCCGGAGCUUGUACGCUACUACCGCUCACACCGCAAAAUCCUGGAAGAAGAUAAGGAUCUCAUAAUGACUAUGCAUGAUGUGAACUUCUCAACUUCGUCGUGCAUGGGAAUGCUUGGAAGGGUGCGUGGCGGAGACUGCAGGACACUACCAUAUGUCAAGAGGGAUGUUUCAAACUUUCGGUCCAAUCUGUGA
RNAcentral lists this ribosomal RNA (369 nucleotides) under Triticum aestivum (bread wheat). RNAcentral's name for it is "partial small subunit ribosomal RNA". Lineage: Eukaryota; Viridiplantae; Streptophyta; Magnoliopsida; Poales; Poaceae. The record is from RNAcentral.